RNAcentral lists this small RNA (228 nucleotides) under Streptacidiphilus jiangxiensis. RNAcentral's name for it is "Actinobacteria sRNA Ms_IGR-5". It matches the Rfam family "Actinobacteria sRNA Ms_IGR-5". Lineage: Bacteria; Bacillati; Actinomycetota; Actinomycetes; Kitasatosporales; Streptomycetaceae. The record is from Rfam by way of RNAcentral.
ACACUGAAAGGAGGUGAUCCUAGGUUGAGUACGACCAGGACGCGUGAGGUGGCUGCGCGCUAGCGCUGCCCCGUCCGGCGGCGGGUAGCUCCCGUCCAAGGACACUCCAACACUGGCGCGCAAGCGCAAUUCAGAGCAGUCACCCGGCCCGCAGGCUCAUCGGAUCGUCCCCGAUGCCCCGGCCCCUGGACGCAGGGACCGAGGGAGCAAGCCUGCGGGCCGCUUUUU